UACCAGCACCCCGAGUGGUUGGGACGAUUAUUGGGCCUAAAGCAUCCGUAGCCGGUCCUACAAGUCUUCCGUUAAAUCCACCUGCUUAACAGAUGGGCUGCGGAAGGUACUAUAGGGCUAGGAGGCGGGAGAGGCAAGCGGUACUCAGUGGGUAGGGGUAAAAUCCUCUGAUCCAUUGAAGACCACCAGUGGCGAAGGCGGCUUGCCAGAACGCGCUCGACGGUGAGGGAUGAAAGCUGGGGGAGCAAACCGG
RNAcentral lists this ribosomal RNA (253 nucleotides) under uncultured bacterium. RNAcentral describes it as "partial 16S ribosomal RNA". It matches the Rfam family "Archaeal small subunit ribosomal RNA", at positions 474 to 727 of the family's 1478-position model. The record is from RNAcentral.